AUUGAACGCUGGCGGCAUGCUUUACACAUGCAAGUCGAACGGCAGCACGGGAGCAAUCCUGGUGGCGAGUGGCGAACGGGUGAGUAAUACAUCGGAACGUGCCCAAUCGUGGGGGAUAACGCAGCGAAAGCUGUGCUAAUACCGCAUACGAUCUACGGAUGAAAGCAGGGGAUCGCAAGACCUUGCGCGAAUGGAGCGGCCGAUGGCAGAUUAGGUAGUUGGUGAGGUAAAGGCUCACCAAGCCGUCGAUCUGUAGCUGGUCUGAGAGGACGACCAGCCACACUGGGACUGAGACACGGCCCAGACUCCUACGGGAGGCAGCAGUGGGGAAUUUUGGACAAUGGGCGAAAGCCCGAUCCAGCCAUGCCGCGUGCAGGAUGAAGGCCUUCGGGUUGUAAACUGCUUUUGUACGGAACGAAACGGCCUUUUCUAAUAAAGAGGGCUAAUGACGGUACCGUAAGAAUAAGCACCGGCUAACUACGUGCCAGCAGCCGCGGCAAUACGUAGGGUGCAAGCGUUAAUCGGAAUUACUGGGCGUAAAGCGUGCGCAGGCGGUUAUGUAAGACAGUUGUGAAAUCCCCGGGCUCAACCUGGGAACUGCAUCUGUGACUGCAUAGCUAGAGUACGGUAGAGGGGGAUGGAAUUCCGCGUGUAGCAGUGAAAUGCGUAGAUAUGCGGAGGAACACCGAUGGCGAAGGCAAUCCCCUGGACCUGUACUGACGCUCAUGCACGAAAGCGUGGGGAGCAAACAGG
This 753-nucleotide ribosomal RNA is filed under the name uncultured Comamonadaceae bacterium. RNAcentral's name for it is "bacterial SSU rRNA". It matches the Rfam family "Bacterial small subunit ribosomal RNA", at positions 28 to 776 of the family's 1533-position model. Lineage: Bacteria; Pseudomonadati; Pseudomonadota; Betaproteobacteria; Burkholderiales; Comamonadaceae. The record is from RNAcentral.